AGGACGAACGCUGGCGGCGUGCUUAACACAUGCAAGUCGAACGAGUCCCUACCUUCGGGUAGGUGACCUAGUGGCGAACGGGUGAGUAACACGUGGGCAACCUACCCUCAGCUCUGGGAUAACCCCCGGGAAACCGGAGCUAAUACCGGAUAUGACCUUGCGCGACAUCGCGCUUGGUGGAAAGUUUUUCGGCUGAGGAUGGGCCCGCGGCCUAUCAGCUUGUUGGUGGGGUAAUGGCCCACCAAGGCGACGACGGGUA
Molecule: ribosomal RNA, 259 nt
Filed under: uncultured bacterium
Lineage: Bacteria
Description: partial small subunit ribosomal RNA
Rfam family: Bacterial small subunit ribosomal RNA
Source: RNAcentral